UGCGGGCUUCCCCGGCCGGCCGUGUGGCGGCAAGAGAGGUUUAACAUAUCUAUUACUGUGUGGUUCUAAAGGCGGAUUUGAGUUGUGGUUUUCACUACAAACUGUAGAUUGAGCUAGAUGAAGCAAGCGACUUCAGCAUUGUGAAAACGUACGUAGUGUAGAAAUUGAUGAUGCGAAACUCCGUUUUUGAACUUUGGUUGAAUUUCAAUUAAUUAUGGCACAAAUAGGCGUUUGGUGGGUAAAACCAUCUUAUAGCGCGACUUAAUAAUGAUCGUUGCUGCGUGAUCAUAUUAGUAAAUAAAUCAGACUCCGUCCGCCUUCACUUGUAAUAUUAUAUAAUGAGAUAUGAAUAAUUAAAUUUAUUAAAUUCCUUACAUUAAUUAAUGAAUCAGCCGCUCUGUUUUACAGGACAGUUAGACAACGACACCCGCUAUAUCGUGAUAAAUAUUUAUAUUCCCGAUUGAAUUCAAAUUCACGAGUACAAGCUUCACUUACUGUGUCUCGCUGUAAAGAACAGAUCACUUUUUAAAAAUAACAUUUAGAAUCCCCAUGUUUACCAAUAAACCAUUUUUAUUUAAA
This is a long non-coding RNA of Cydia strobilella, 579 nucleotides long. RefSeq lists it as uncharacterized. Lineage: Eukaryota; Metazoa; Arthropoda; Insecta; Lepidoptera; Tortricidae. The transcript has 2 exons. The record is from RefSeq and is a predicted model, not a curated record.